GGCCUCAAGUCAAGCGACAGCACCCGCUGAAUUUAAGCAUAUUACUAAGCGGAGGAAAAGAAACCAACAGGGGAUUCCCUCAGUAGCGGCGAGCGAAGCGGGAAGAGCCCAAGCUCUGAAUCUGGGCGCGCGUCAUGUUUCGUGCUCCGAAUUGUGGUCUCGUGGCANGGCAUCGCUGAGGCGACCGCGCGUUGGGCAAAAGUCCCUUGGAAAAGGGCGCCAGGNAGGGUGACAGCCCCGUCCAUUGGUCCAGCGNGGNCGUNCGAUCGCGUCGUUGCGCUUGCCCCAAAANCGGGNUGUU
This 301-nucleotide ribosomal RNA is filed under the name uncultured Psilocybe. Its description in RNAcentral is "partial 28S large subunit ribosomal RNA". It matches the Rfam family "Eukaryotic large subunit ribosomal RNA", at positions 1 to 274 of the family's 3401-position model. Lineage: Eukaryota; Fungi; Basidiomycota; Agaricomycetes; Agaricales; Strophariaceae. The record is from RNAcentral.